Molecule: transfer RNA, 74 nt
Filed under: Candidatus Omnitrophota bacterium
Lineage: Bacteria; Pseudomonadati; Candidatus Omnitrophota
Description: tRNA-Met
Rfam family: tRNA
About the family: Transfer RNA (tRNA) molecules are approximately 80 nucleotides in length. Their secondary structure includes four short double-helical elements and three loops (D, anti-codon, and T loops).
Source: RNAcentral
UCGCGGGGUGGAGAAGCAGUAUCUCGCCGGCUUCAUACGCCGGAGAUCGCCGGUGCAACUCCGGCCCCCGCUAU